UACGUAGGGGGCAAGCGUUGUCCGGAUUUCUUGGGCGUAAAGAGCGUGUAGGCGGCCAUGUAGGUCCGUUGUGAAAACUCGAGGCUCAACCUCGAGACGCCGAUGGAAACCAUGUGGCUAGAGUCCGGAAGAGGAGAGUGGAAUUCCCGGUGUAGCGGUGAAAUGCGCAGAUAUCGGGAAGAACACCCGUGGCGAAGGCGGUUCUCUGGGACGGUACUGACGCUGAGACGCGAAAGCGUGGGGAGCGAACAGG
RNAcentral lists this ribosomal RNA (253 nucleotides) under uncultured bacterium. RNAcentral's name for it is "partial 16S ribosomal RNA". It matches the Rfam family "Bacterial small subunit ribosomal RNA", at positions 524 to 776 of the family's 1533-position model. The record is from RNAcentral.